UUUGCUAGAUAUUGACAGAAUCAAGUCCCAGAACCCAUGCAAAUAUAAGGUAAGUCCCUCCCACACUCAGCUAGGGCAGUACAAACAAGCUAGACUGUAUCAGGAGCCCAGGACUCCAGCUGGAGGGAACGUUGAGCCUGGGUUGGGGGUGGGGGCUGUGGUCAGACGCACAUCCUGGGCAUAGAUGGUAACUCAGGCACCACAGGUGCGCUGGGCUCUGCUGACCCUCCCUGGCGUCAGAAACAAAGUAAAAAGGAGCUUUCUGCAGAAGGAAACCUUCCUUCCUUCCUUCCAGAAGUGCUGACUGUGGGAUGACUGCCGUUUGGGGCAGGGAGUCUUUUGUCUGUUCUGAGGCUGCUUCCUCCUCUUGGCCCCGCCCUACAGGUCAUGAAGGAGAAGGGCAAGAGGUCCUCCAGAAUCAUCCACUGCAUCCAGCUAGAUGUCAGCCACACCCUGCAGAAACACAUGAUGUUCAUACAAAGAUUCGGAGUCAAGCAGCAGGAAUUAUGUGACAUCCUCGUGGCCUAUUCUGCAUAUAACCCUGAGGUGGGCUACCACAGGGACCUGAGCCGCAUCACUGCCAUCCUCCUCCUGUGUCUGCCAGAGGAAGAUGCUUUCUGGGCGCUUACCCAGUUGCUCGCUG
RNAcentral lists this small RNA (643 nucleotides) under Pan troglodytes (chimpanzee). RNAcentral describes it as "retained intron". The record is from RNAcentral. Lineage: Eukaryota; Metazoa; Chordata; Mammalia; Primates; Hominidae.